GACGAACGCUGGCGGCGUGCUUAACACAUGCAAGUCGAACGGAAAGACCCUGCUUUUGUGGGGUGCUCGAGUGGCGAACGGGUGAGUAACACGUGAGUAACCUGCCCUUGACUUUGGGAUAACUUCAGGAAACUGGGGCUAAUACCGGAUAGGAGCUCCUGCUGCAUGGUGGGGGUUGGAAAGUUUCGGCGGUUGGGGAUGGACUCGCGGCUUAUCAGCUUGUUGGUGGGGUAGUGGCUUACAAAGGCUUUGACGGGUAGCCGGCCUGAGAGGGUGACCGGCCACAUUGGGACUGAGAUACGGCCCAGACUCCUACGGGAGGCAGCAGUGGGGAAUAUUGCACAAUGGGCGGAAGCCUGAUGCAGCAACGCCGCGUGCGGGAUGACGGCCUUCGGGUUGUAAACCGCUUUCGCCUGUGACGAAGCGUGAGUGACGGUAAUGGGUAAAGAAGCACCGGCUAACUACGUG
RNAcentral lists this ribosomal RNA (468 nucleotides) under uncultured bacterium. Its description in RNAcentral is "partial 16S ribosomal RNA". It matches the Rfam family "Bacterial small subunit ribosomal RNA", at positions 28 to 507 of the family's 1533-position model. The record is from RNAcentral.